UACAGAGGGUGCGAGCGUUAAUCGGAAUUACUGGGCGUAAAGCGCACGUAGGUGGCGACGUAAGUCGGGUGUGAAAGCCCCGGGCUCAACCUGGGAAUUGCAUUCGAGACUGCAUAGCUAGGAUGCGGAAGAGGGAAGCGGAAUUUCCGGUGUAGCGGUGAAAUGCGUAGAUAUCGGAAGGAACACCAGUGGCGAAAGCGGCUUCCUGGUCCAGCAUCGACGUUCAGGCACGAAAGCGUGGGGAGCAAACAGG
Molecule: ribosomal RNA, 253 nt
Filed under: uncultured bacterium
Lineage: Bacteria
Description: partial 16S ribosomal RNA
Rfam family: Bacterial small subunit ribosomal RNA
Source: RNAcentral